This 428-nucleotide ribosomal RNA is filed under the name Acidobacteriota bacterium. Its description in RNAcentral is "Acidobacteria bacterium partial 16S ribosomal RNA". It matches the Rfam family "Bacterial small subunit ribosomal RNA", at positions 355 to 776 of the family's 1533-position model. Lineage: Bacteria; Pseudomonadati; Acidobacteriota. The record is from RNAcentral.
UGGGGAAUUUUGGACAAUGGGGGAAACCCUGAUCCAGCCAUCCCGCGUGUGCGAUGAAGGCCUUCGGGUUGUAAAGCACUUUUGGCAGGAAAGAAACGUCAUGGGUUAAUACCCCGUGAAACUGAUGGUACCUGCAGAAUAAGCACCGGCUAACUACGUGCCAGCAGCCGCGGUAAUACGUAGGGUGCAAGCGUUAAUCGGAAUUACUGGCGUAAAGCGUGCGCAGGCGGUUCGGAAAGAAAGAUGUGAAAUCCCAGAGCUCAACUUUGGAACUGCAUUUUUAACUACCGGGCUAGAGUGUGUCAGGGGGAGGUUGAAGUCCGCGUGUAGCAGUGAAAUGCGUAGAUAUGCGGAGGAACGCCGAUGGCGAAGGCAGCCUCCUGGGAUAACACUGACGCUCAUGCACGAAAGCGUGGGGAGCAAACAGG